Molecule: ribosomal RNA, 2922 nt
Filed under: Klebsiella pneumoniae
Lineage: Bacteria; Pseudomonadati; Pseudomonadota; Gammaproteobacteria; Enterobacterales; Enterobacteriaceae
Description: bacterial LSU rRNA
Rfam family: Bacterial large subunit ribosomal RNA
Source: RNAcentral
GGGUUGUGAGGUUAAGCGACUAAGCGUACACGGUGGAUGCCCUGGCAGUCAGAGGCGAUGAAGGACGUGCUAAUCUGCGAAAAGCGUCGGUAAGGUGAUAUGAACCGUUAUAACCGGCGAUGUCCGAAUGGGGAAACCCAGUGUGAUUCGUCACACUAUCGUUAACUGAAUACAUAGGUUAACGAGGCGAACCGGGGGAACUGAAACAUCUAAGUACCCCGAGGAAAAGAAAUCAACCGAGAUUCCCCCAGUAGCGGCGAGCGAACGGGGAGCAGCCCAGAGUCUGAAUCAGCUUGUGUGUUAGUGGAACGGUCUGGAAAGUCCGACGGUACAGGGUGAUAGUCCCGUACACCAAAAUGCACAGGCUGUGAACUCGAAGAGUAGGGCGGGACACGUGGUAUCCUGUCUGAAUAUGGGGGGACCAUCCUCCAAGGCUAAAUACUCCUGACUGACCGAUAGUGAACCAGUACCGUGAGGGAAAGGCGAAAAGAACCCCGGCGAGGGGAGUGAAAAAGAACCUGAAACCGUGUACGUACAAGCAGUGGGAGCACCUUCGGGUGUGACUGCGUACCUUUUGUAUAAUGGGUCAGCGACUUAUAUUCUGUAGCAAGGUUAACCGUAUAGGGGAGCCGCAGGGAAACCGAGUCUUAACUGGGCGUUAAGUUGCAGGGUAUAGACCCGAAACCCGGUGAUCUAGCCAUGGGCAGGUUGAAGGUUGGGUAACACUAACUGGAGGACCGAACCGACUAAUGUUGAAAAAUUAGCGGAUGACUUGUGGCUGGGGGUGAAAGGCCAAUCAAACCGGGAGAUAGCUGGUUCUCCCCGAAAGCUAUUUAGGUAGCGCCUCGUGAAUUCAUCUUCGGGGGUAGAGCACUGUUUCGGCUAGGGGGUCAUCCCGACUUACCAACCCGAUGCAAACUACGAAUACCGAAGAAUGUUAUCACGGGAGACACACGGCGGGUGCUAACGUCCGUCGUGAAGAGGGAAACAACCCAGACCGCCAGCUAAGGUCCCAAAGUCAUGGUUAAGUGGGAAACGAUGUGGGAAGGCACAGACAGCCAGGAUGUUGGCUUAGAAGCAGCCAUCAUUUAAAGAAAGCGUAAUAGCUCACUGGUCGAGUCGGCCUGCGCGGAAGAUGUAACGGGGCUAAACCAUGCACCGAAGCUGCGGCAGCGACACUAUGUGUUGUUGGGUAGGGGAGCGUUCUGUAAGCCUGCGAAGGUGUGCUGUGAGGCAUGCUGGAGGUAUCAGAAGUGCGAAUGCUGACAUAAGUAACGAUAAAGCGGGUGAAAAGCCCGCUCGCCGGAAGACCAAGGGUUCCUGUCCAACGUUAAUCGGGGCAGGGUGAGUCGACCCCUAAGGCGAGGCCGAAAGGCGUAGUCGAUGGGAAACAGGUUAAUAUUCCUGUACUUGGUGUUACUGCGAAGGGGGACGGAGAAGGCUAUGUUAGCCGGGCGACGGUUGUCCCGGUUUAAGCAUGUAGGCUGGUUGUCCAGGCAAAUCCGGAUAAUCAAGGCUGAGGUGUGAUGACGAGGUACUACGGUGCUGAAGUAACAAAUGCCCUGCUUCCAGGAAAAGCCUCUAAGCAUCAGGUAACAUCAAAUCGUACCCCAAACCGACACAGGUGGUCAGGUAGAGAAUACCAAGGCGCUUGAGAGAACUCGGGUGAAGGAACUAGGCAAAAUGGUGCCGUAACUUCGGGAGAAGGCACGCUGGUGUGUAGGUGAAGUCCCUGCGGAUGGAGCUGAGACCAGUCGAAGAUACCAGCUGGCUGCAACUGUUUAUUAAAAACACAGCACUGUGCAAACACGAAAGUGGACGUAUACGGUGUGACGCCUGCCCGGUGCCGGAAGGUUAAUUGAUGGGGUUAUCCGUAAGGAGAAGCUCUUGAUCGAAGCCCCGGUAAACGGCGGCCGUAACUAUAACGGUCCUAAGGUAGCGAAAUUCCUUGUCGGGUAAGUUCCGACCUGCACGAAUGGCGUAAUGAUGGCCAGGCUGUCUCCACCCGAGACUCAGUGAAAUUGAACUCGCUGUGAAGAUGCAGUGUACCCGCGGCAAGACGGAAAGACCCCGUGAACCUUUACUAUAGCUUGACACUGAACAUUGAGCCUUGAUGUGUAGGAUAGGUGGGAGGCUUUGAAGCGUGGACGCCAGUCUGCGUGGAGCCAACCUUGAAAUACCACCCUUUAAUGUUUGAUGUUCUAACGUUGGCCCCUUACCGGGGUUGCGGACAGUGUCUGGUGGGUAGUUUGACUGGGGCGGUCUCCUCCCAAAGCGUAACGGAGGAGCACGAAGGUUAGCUAAUCCUGGUCGGACAUCAGGAGGUUAGUGCAAUGGCAUAAGCUAGCUUGACUGCGAGCGUGACGGCGCGAGCAGGUGCGAAAGCAGGUCAUAGUGAUCCGGUGGUUCUGAAUGGAAGGGCCAUCGCUCAACGGAUAAAAGGUACUCCGGGGAUAACAGGCUGAUACCGCCCAAGAGUUCAUAUCGACGGCGGUGUUUGGCACCUCGAUGUCGGCUCAUCACAUCCUGGGGCUGAAGUAGGUCCCAAGGGUAUGGCUGUUCGCCAUUUAAAGUGGUACGCGAGCUGGGUUUAGAACGUCGUGAGACAGUUCGGUCCCUAUCUGCCGUGGGCGCUGGAGAAUUGAGGGGGGCUGCUCCUAGUACGAGAGGACCGGAGUGGACGCAUCACUGGUGUUCGGGUUGUCAUGCCAAUGGCACUGCCCGGUAGCUAAAUGCGGAAGAGAUAAGUGCUGAAAGCAUCUAAGCACGAAACUUGCCCCGAGAUGAGUUCUCCCUGAGACUUUAAGUCUCCUGAAGGAACGUUGAAGACGACGACGUUGAUAGGCCGGGUGUGUAAGCGCAGCGAUGCGUUGAGCUAACCGGUACUAAUGAACCGUGAGGCUUAACCUUACAACGCCGAAG